CCCAUGCAUGCACGCACGGGAAUCUGUGACAUUUUCGAGAAGAGGAAGCUCUUCUUUCGAUUUAAACAGCUCUUCUUUGGAAAUAAAAACCAAAAAUAUAGGCCAUAACCUAAACUUAACCUAGCUCUCACAACUUCCCACUACCUUUUUACAAUUUUAUGAUUACCUGCUACUGUAGAGCAGGUCUUCAAGUCAUAACUUCUACUGAAGAUGCAUAAGAGAUAUCACUAUGCUGAUUUGGGUUGGGCAGUGUAUGUGAUGGUCAGUUUAGCCCUAUCUGAUAGUCUACUAAUAAUCCAAGCAGACUGCAAUGAAGAUGUCUCUAUGAAGUGUGAAGCUGUCCAGGAUAAGAGCUAUCGAUCUGUUACAUGGUAUAAGUUGAACAACCAGACUGGUAUUAUCAGAAGAAGUAACGGUGAGAAGCCAUAUCCCUUUAGAUUUCCCCGACCUGCUAGGUUUGGACCAAUGGACAGUCUAGUUCUUCCCAGAGUCAGGCCUGAGGAUGCAGGGACAUACCAGUGUCUCCUCAGGGCCAACAUAGGACAGACCAACAGAGAUUCAAAGGUCACCCUCAAUGUAUCUACAGAUUGUGUGAUCCAUACUACAGUGGCAGUGACAGCCUGGCAGAACGUGACUCACACUACCCCAAUGUGUCCCAUACAAUUGGUUGAGGUCUCUGUCAUAUGGACUUCAUGUGGAUUCUUGAUACUGGGUUUUGUCAAAAUCGCUCUGUGUCUAAUCUCUAUUGGGGUUGUUCGAAACAUCAAGAGGAGUCAUAGCAGGAGAAAAAAACAACAACAGUGGUGAAAGAAAAUCUUGGUAAAAAACCCACGUUCUGAGCGCAGCGGUUUCAAGAACUGCUGGAUUUUAGGUCUCUGGAAACAUUUGUUAAGCUGCGUUAAUACAUGCAGACCAAUUCUGAUUUUUUCCCCGAACACAUCAGAUCUUUUCACAUCAGAUAUUUUUCAGCACUGAUUGAAUUGGUCAAAAAUAUCAGAAUUGGGCUACCUGUGUAAACGCAGCCCUAGAGAGUUCACAGAUGCAAUCACUUAAAGUAAAACCUUACAAUGUAAUGAAAGGUGUAAAUAUCUGCUUUAAAUAUAGUUCUGCUAAAAUCUUGCAAUAAUACCCUGAGCAGCUUUCCAGCAAAUGCAGUUCUGUAUACUUAUUGUUGACCCUACUUAUCACAGACUACCUUAUCGAUUUUAUUCUGCCAAUACCGGAGUUGAUGAGUGAAGAUGCAUUGUUUUGAUUUUCCUUCCAACCACUUUGUGAAAACUUUGAUGCUGAUGAGGUAUGAUUCAUGUCCAGAAUAGCCAGUAGCCCCUGCUGAUUGUGCCUUAUUGAGUAAACUCAACGCUGUUCAAACAGCAGGAUGCUGUGAGGACAACUUAGGGCAGGGGUUCUCAAACUUUUUUGGUCCACAACCUAAUUUUGAUAUGUGAAAAUUCUUGCAAGCCCAACCAUGUGAACAAUUAUGUAAAAUUAUGUAAUUAACAGCCAAUGUUUACUUUUUUACUUGGGGCUCUGGCAGUCAAUUGAAAAACAUUCUAACAGUAUUUCUGAUUGUCUUCUCAAACCACCAUCACAUACUUUUAAUGUGGGGCUAUGACAGUCAAUUGCAAGUUAGUCUGACAUAAUGUAUCUUAUCUCACCACCACUAAUGACGUGGGUGUGCUUGAUGCAUGUCGAGUCGGAGCUUCUCAAAGUCAGGGGGCGAGAUCGACAGUGCGCACCACAUCUCUGCUGUUACAUCCAACCUGGAUCAAUAUUUGGUUAUAAUGCAGACGAGAGCACUGAAACCAGCUUCACACACAUAUUAGGUGGUGAAGACUAGCCUACCAUGAGUUUUAUGGUGCUUUCAAGACAACUGGGAACUCAGAAAAGUACGAGGUCAAAUCAUGACGUCAGUGAUUGUUAGGUCGGAAAGUUGGAGCUCUAGAAAAUCGUAAUUCCCAGUUGGGGCACUUUCCUUUCCAAGUUCCUAGUUGUCUUCAACGCACUGAAGUCGGAAGUCGGACAUUUCCGAGUUCCCAGUUCCUAGUUCCCAGUUGUUUUGAACGCGACCAUUAAUGCUCAUAGGGAGACGGCAGGGUAUUCCCUUUGAGUCAGGAACCAAAACUCCUCUGUAGUGAACUUAAAUGCAUUGUCUUCAGCAUUCGGUCACAUGACAGCUCGUCAGCUGUUCAAUUUCACUUACCAGCAUGUCAACUGAGCCAGGGUCACAGUCAAACGAAUUGGGAAGUACAGUAGGUCCCAAAGUGCUCUUCGAAGCGUUGGAGGUGAGCAGUCAUCACUCGUGUGGGACACUUACUGAUGCUGUUUUCUGUUAUUUUCUUUUAAUUACACAGAAAGUCAACCAAGUCUGUAUUCUUUAGAUCCGUUGUGAAUGACAGUCCCUCUCUUAAUGUGAAAAAUCUUUCCAACAUUCCCCCUCAAUAACCACCAAGCCUUGGUGUGAAAUAGAACAUUGUCAUGCUCUGAUCCAAUAUCUCCAUGUAGUUUUGCGAACAGGCGUACAAGUAGUGGAUGUGGUUUGAUGUAGUUACAAUCAAAGUUAGCUGCUGCAGUAAAUUCUGUGCUCAGCUCUUUUGCCGCCAGUUGCUCUCGGUAUAUCAUACAAUGGUCCAUAUGGCAGAGGGAGAUCCAUUCAUAACUAGAGUGCAGAGGCCUGCAUGCCGUCCCGCCAUAGAUGGAGCCCCAUCUGUGCAAAAGCCCACCAUUCAAUCCCAUAUGGAAUCUGUUUUCAUCAAUCAAAUCAAAUCAAAUGUAUUUAUAUAGCCCUUCUUACAUCAGCUGAUAUCUCAAAGUGCUAUACAGAAACCCAGCCUAAAACCCCAAACAGCAAGCAAUGCAGGUGUAGAAGCACGGUGGCUAGGAAAAACUCCCUAGAAAGGCCAAAACCUAGGAAGAAACCUAGAGGAACCAGGCUAUGAGGGGUGGCCAGUCCUCUUCUGGCUGUGCCGGGUGGAGAUUAUAACAGAACAUGGCCAAGAUGUUCAAAUAUUCAUAAAUGACCAGCAUGGUCAAAUAAUAAUAAUAAUAAUAAUAAUAAUAAUAAAUCAAUAUAGCCACGCAGCACACUGAACAUCCUCUAUACCGUUUCAUGCUCGGGAAUCGUGAGAAAGAACAAUAUGUCCUCUUGAAUAGCAUCCCCCGAAGUGUAUAGCGAACAAAAGUCAAUGCGUGAGCAACUCGGCCCUCACAGCUAACAUUCAUUUGGAGAACAUAAGCUGGGGUGCUUGAGUAGUUCAGUCAGAGUUUCCUCUUGAUUGCUAGCAAUAGCAUAACUUAUUUAUUUAACAGUGUUAUCUGACAACGGUAUUGAUGUGAGUUUCUGUGCCUCUGCCUACCCACACAUUGUUUUCACCAUAUCAAUUGCGGCCGGUAAUAUCAAAGUCUCAGCUAUAGUGUGUGGUUUCACAGCGUAGUGGGCCUAGCCAUUCCCCGUGGGAAUGAUUCAAGUGCGGCCUUUUCCCAUGGUCUAAGGGCACUCCCUGGCUGAAUUUCAUUGCUAGAAUUUAAUCAUUUUGAUUUUGAUUUUUAAGGUUAAGCACAUUUCAGUGAUUUUGAGAUACAAAGAAGAUAUUAUAAUAUAUACUAUAUACACAAAAGUAUGUGGACACCCCUUGAAAUUAGUGGAUUUGGUUAUUUCAGCCACACCGUUGCUGACAGGUGUAUAAAAUCGAGCACACAGCCAUGCAAUCUUCAUAGACAAAAAUUGGCAAUAGAAUGGCCUUACUGAAGAGCUCAGUGACAUUCAACGUGCCACCGUUAUAGGAUGCCACCUUUCCAACAAGUCAGUUCGUCUAAUUUCUGCCCUGCUAGAGCUGCCCCGGCCAACUGUAAGUGCUGUUACUGUGAAGUGGAAAGGUCUUGGAGCUACAAAAGCUCACCCAUGAAGUGGUAGGCCACACAAGCUUACAGAACGGGACCGCCGAGUGCUGAAGUGCGUACUGUGUAAAAAUCGUCUGUCCUCGGUUGUAAUACUAACUACCGUGUUCCAAAAUUGCCUCUGGAAGCAAUGUCAGCACAAGAACUGUUCUUCGGGAGCUUCAAGAAAUGGGUUUCCAUGGCCGAGCAACCACACACAAGCCUAAGAUCACCAUGCGCAAUGCAAACCGUUGGCUGGAGUGGUGUAAAGCUCUCAUUGGCCUCUGGAGCAGUGGAAAUGCAUUCUCUGGAGUUUUGAAUCACGCUUCACCAUCUGCCAGUCUUACGGAUGAAUCUGGGUUUGGCGGAUGCCAGGAGAACGCUACCUGCCCGAAUGCAUAGUGCCAACUGUAAAGUUUGGUGGAGGAGGAGGCUGUCUGGGGCUGUUUUUCAUGGUUCGGGCCCCUUAGUUCCAGUGAAGGGAAAUCUUAACGCUACAGCAUACAAUGAUAUUCUAGAUGAUUCUGUGCUUCCAACUUUAUGGCAACAGUUUGGGGAAUGCCCAUUCCUGUUUCAGUAUGACAAUGCCCCUGUGCACAAAGUGAGGUCCAUACAGAAAUAGUUUGUUGAGAUCAGUGUUGAAGAACUUGACUGGCCUGCACAAAGCCCUGACCUCAACCCCAUUGAACACCUUUGGGAUGAAUUGGAACGCCGACUGCGUGGAAGGCCUAACUGCCCAACAUCAGUGCCCAACCUCACUAAUGCUCUUGUGGCUGAAUGGAAGCAAGUCCCCGCAGCAAUGUUCUAGUGGAAAGCCUUCUCAGAAGAGUGGAGGCUUUUAUAGCAGUAAAGGGGGACCAACUCAAUAUUAAUGCCCAUGAAUUUGGAAUGAGAUGUUUGACGAGCAGGUGUCCACAUACUUUUGGUCAUGUAGUGUAUAUAUUUUUUGGGGGGGGUGUAUAUAUCUUUCUUUGGAUUUUUCAAAUUCUCCUGUGACCCUAUUUUAAUAUCAGGUUUGAGAACUGUGACCCCUUUUUCUCCAGCGACCUCAUUUUUAUACCCUUAAUUUGAGAACUGCUGACUGAUACCCUAACUACACCGCUCGUGUUUCCCGUGCGCGAGUGUUGCAAAAUAAAUUUAGGAAUCUAAGUUAUUCAAUUAUUGCACCCACACUGCUCGCACGCGUCAUCGAGCGUCUGCGUUGCCAAGGGCUAAAAUAGAAGUAAUUUCUAUUUCUGACGCAGAUCGCGCUGCAAGUCCUGCCUCUCCCAUCUCCUCAUUGGUUUAUAGAAGCAGGUACCCACGUGCAAUCUCUUCAAUGGUUAUACCCAAGUGGGUGAUUGAAAGACAAACUUUGUUGCCGGUCGUCGUGGUAAUACAAUGAAAGUUUAGAUGCCAAUCACCACAUAAGUUCAAAGAUGAAAAAGCCUGGAAGGAGAAGAGAUAACUAGAAACAAUUCAGUUGAUCGUUUUAUGUGUAGAUUAAUUGCCGGAGUAGAGGACCUUGUGCAUUUCAGGUAAAAUAACAACUCAAUGUUUAUAUCCCAGGACAAAUUAGCUAGCAACAGCAAGCUAGCUAAUAGGACAAAUUAGCUAGCAAGUCCAAGCUAGCUAGCUAAAUUACCAUAUGUGUUUAAUUAUUUUCGACCUGUCCCCAAAUUAAUGUAAUUGGUUCAGAGUUUGUUUUAAUAUUUUAACCUGCGUGUCGUGAUUGCGUUUGGUGUGGGGGGGACAAAAUAAAUGUAUGCACGAUGGUGCACGCGCGCAGCCAGUUUGGGUUCCGUGUUAGGGUCAGGCUGUGGGGGUUUCUAUUGUUAUUGUACUGUCAUGUUAUUAACUAUGUAGGCCAGAAUAUUAAAAUGUUAGAAGGCUCAGGUGUGUUUUUUUCUGUAUUCUAUUGUAUUGUGCCUUGGUUUUUUGUCUCAUUUUAGUCUCAUUUUAGUAUCUAGGCUUAUGCAGGUAGUGAAUGGAUUUUACCAGUUUGUACUUUUGUUCGCACAAGAAACACCUACAAAUUUGUUCAAUGUAUUACCCUCCACAUUAACAUCAAAUCUACUCAAUUGGUCACAUGCACACGAUACAGUGAAAUGCUUGCUUGCUAACGGCUCUGACUUAGAAUAUGUGGACAACUACAAAUACCUAUGUGUCUGGUUAGACUGUAAACUCUCCUUCCAGACCCACAUCAAACAUCUCCAAUCCAAAGUCAAAUCUAGAAUUGGCUUCCUAUUCCGCAACAAAGCAUCCUUUACUCAUGCUGCCAAACAUACCCUUGUAAAACUGACCAUCCUACCAAUCCUCGACUUCGGUGAUGUCAUUUACAAAAUAGCCUCCAAAACCCUACUCAAUAAAUUGGAUGCAGUCUAUCACAGUGCCAUCCGUUUUGUCACCAAAGCCCCAUAUACUACCCACCACUGCGACCUGUACACUCUCGUUGGCUGGCCCUCGCUUCAUACUCGUCGCCAAACCCACUGGUUCCAGGUCAUCUACAAGACCCUGCUAGGUAAAGUCCCCCCUUAUCUCAGCUCGCUGGUCACCAUAGCAGCACCUACCUGUAGCACGCGCUCCAGCAGGUAUAUCUCUCUAGUCACCCCCAAAACCAAUUCUUCCUUUGGACGCCUCUCCUUCCAGUUCUCUGCUGCCAAUGACUGGAACGAACUACAAAAAUCUCUGAAACUGGAAAUACCUAUCUCCCUCACUAGCUUUAAGCACCAGCUGUCAGAGCAGCUCAUAGAUUACUGCACCUGUACAUAACCCAUCUACAAUUUAGCCCAAACAACUACCUCUUUACCUACUGUAUUUAUUUAUUAAUUUAUUUUGCUCCUUUGCACCCCAUUAUUUCUGUCUCUACUUUGCACUUUCUUCCAAUGCAAACCAACCAUUCCAGUGUUUUUUUUUUUUUUUUUUUUUUUUUUUUUUUUUUUUUUUACUUGCUGUGUUGUACUCACUUCGCCUCCAUGGCCUUUUUAUAUUUUUAUUUAUUUAUACAUAUAUCUGUUUGCCUUCACCUCCCUUAUCUCACCUCACUUGCUCACAUUGUAUAUAGACUUAUUUUUUUUCACUGUAUUAUUGACUAUAUGUUUGUUUUUACUCCAUGUGUAACUAUGUGUUGUUGUAUGUGUCGAACUGCUUUGCUUUAUCUUGGCCAGGUCGCAAUUGUAAAUGAGAACGUGUUCUCAAUUUGCCUACCUGGUUAAAUAAAGGUUAAAUAAAAAAAUAAAAAAAAUAAAAAAAUAACUCAACUCAACAAUGCAGUACAAUAACAAUGUUAAUCAAGAAUCAAAUGCCAAAUACAAAAGUCCCAAAAUAACAAGUAGUAAUAAAAAGUAGAAUAAAAAAAUCUAGAUCAUAACUGAGUGAACAGUCUGUGGCUCGGGUGACCGGAGUCUGUGAUGAUCUUCUGGGCCUUCCUCAGACACCGGCAGAGGUUGUUAUGCCACUCUGCCAGGGCUCCAACCUCCUCCCUGAAGGCUGUCUUGUUGCUGUCGGGGAUCAGACCUACCACUGUCGUGUCGUCAGCAAACAUGAAUAUGGUGUUGGAGUUGUACGUGACCAAGCAGUCAUGGGUGAACAGAGAAUACAGGGGGGCGCUGAGCACACACCCCUGGGGGACCCCCGUGUUGAGAGUCAGUGUGGCAGAGGUGUGGUUGCCUACCCUGUCAGGAAGUCCAGGAUCCAGUUGCAGAGGGAGGUGUUCAGACCCAGUGAUUGAGAUGACUCAGAAAAGCUACAUUUUUGCAUAAGAAUCUCUCACAUCCUCUGCUUGUAAGAGGGAACUUUGUCAUAACAAACUCACAGGUGUGAGAUCUUAAUUUGACCAGUAUUGUCGCAGCAAAAUAAUCCUGCAGUAACAGAAUUUGAACGUUUAGUCUAGGGUAUUAGCUGGUCAAAAUCAGGCUCCAUGAAAAGUGUAGCACUGUUAAUAUAACCUAUGUUAGUGAAUUUAUGUAACACCUGCGGUGGAGGAAAAUUCUUAGCAACAACAGAGUGAUCAGCUUGCAUUUAUACCUCGGUCAUAUCUCUGUCUGUCUGUUUGUCUGUGCUAUGUUUCCCUGUUUAAAAUUCCCCAUCAAGAAUGUAUGUAUAACCAACAACUAAGAAAAUGAUUCUUUGUUUCGUCAUUGAUAAUCCUCCUCCUGGCUGUUGCUGUUUCAGUUCCUGUCCCUGCUUUCCUACCUAAAGGCAAAAUUAAAGAACUAUAAGUCACUCUCUCCUUAUUGUUCUCUAGCCUGUAUUGGCCUUAACCUGUGUG
Molecule: long non-coding RNA, 8122 nt
Organism: Salvelinus fontinalis (brook trout)
Lineage: Eukaryota; Metazoa; Chordata; Actinopteri; Salmoniformes; Salmonidae
Exons: 5
Source: RefSeq, a predicted model, not a curated record